UUUGGUUAAGUUAGAAAGGGCGCACGGUGGAUGCCUUGACACUAGGAGUCGAUGAAGGACGGGACUAACGCCGAUAUGCUUCGGGGAGCUGUAAGUAAGCUUUGAUCCGAAGAUUUCCGAAUGGGGAAACCCACCAUACGUAAUGGUAUGGUAUCCUUAUCUGAAUACAUAGGGUAAGGAAGACAGACCCAGGGAACUGAAACAUCUAAGUACCUGGAGGAAGAGAAAGCAAAUGCGAUUUCCUGAGUAGCGGCGAGCGAAACGGAACAUAGCCCAAACCAAGAGGCUUGCCUCUUGGGGUUGUAGGACAUUCUAUACGGAGUUACAAAGGAACGAGGUAGACGAAGCGACCUGGAAAGGUCCGUCGUAGAGGGUAACAACCCCGUAGUCGAAACUUCGUUCUCUCUUGAAUGUAUCCUGAGUACGGCGGAACACGUGAAAUUCCGUCGGAAUCUGGGAGGACCAUCUCCCAAGGCUAAAUACUCCCUAGUGAUCGAUAGUGAACCAGUACCGUGAGGGAAAGGUGAAAAGCACCCCGGAAGGGGAGUGAAAGAGAUCCUGAAACCGUGUGCCUACAAAUAGUCAGAGCCCGUUAACGGGUGAUGGCGUGCCUUUUGUAGAAUGAACCGGCGAGUUACGAUCCCGUGCGAGGUUAAGCUGAAGAGGCGGAGCCGCAGCGAAAGCGAGUCUGAAUAGGGCGUUUAGUACGUGGUCGUAGACCCGAAACCAGGUGAUCUACCCAUGUCCAGGGUGAAGUUCAGGUAACACUGAAUGGAGGCCCGAACCCACGCACGUUGAAAAGUGCGGGGAUGAGGUGUGGGUAGCGGAGAAAUUCCAAUCGAACCUGGAGAUAGCUGGUUCUCCCCGAAAUAGCUUUAGGGCUAGCCUUAAGUGUAAGAGUCUUGGAGGUAGAGCACUGAUUGGACUAGGGGUCCUCAUCGGAUUACCGAAUUCAGUCAAACUCCGAAUGCCAAUGACUUAUCCUUAGGAGUCAGACUGCGAGUGAUAAGAUCCGUAGUCAAAAGGGAAACAGCCCAGACCGCCAGCUAAGGUCCCAAAGUGUGUAUUAAGUGGAAAAGGAUGUGGAGUUGCUUAGACAACUAGGAUGUUGGCUUAGAAGCAGCCACCAUUUAAAGAGUGCGUAAUAGCUCACUAGUCGAGUGACUCUGCGCCGAAAAUGUACCGGGGCUAAAUACACCACCGAAGCUGCGGAUUGAUACCGAAUGGUAUCAGUGGUAGGGGAGCGUUCUAAGGACAGUGAAGUCAGACCGUAAGGACUGGUGGAGUGCUUAGAAGUGAGAAUGCCGGUAUGAGUAGCGAAAGACGGGUGAGAAUCCCGUCCACCGAAUGCCUAAGGUUUCCUGAGGAAGGCUCGUCCGCUCAGGGUUAGUCAGGACCUAAGCCGAGGCCGACAGGCGUAGGCGAUGGACAACAGGUUGAUAUUCCUGUACCACCUCUUUAUCGUUUGAGCAAUGGAGGGACGCAGAAGGAUAGAAGAAGCGUGCGAUUGGUUGUGCACGUCCAAGCAGUUAGGCUGAUAAGUAGGCAAAUCCGCUUAUCGUGAAGGCUGAGCUGUGAUGGGGAAGCUCCUUAUGGAGCGAAGUCUUUGAUUCCCCGCUGCCAAGAAAAGCUUCUAGCGAGAUAAAAGGUGCCUGUACCGCAAACCGACACAGGUAGGCGAGGAGAGAAUCCUAAGGUGUGCGAGAGAACUCUGGUUAAGGAACUCGGCAAAAUGACCCCGUAACUUCGGGAGAAGGGGUGCUUUCUUAACGGAAAGCCGCAGUGAAUAGGCCCAAGCGACUGUUUAGCAAAAACACAGCUCUCUGCGAAGCCGUAAGGCGAAGUAUAGGGGGUGACACCUGCCCGGUGCUGGAAGGUUAAGGAGAGGGGUUAGCGUAAGCGAAGCUCUGAACUGAAGCCCCAGUAAACGGCGGCCGUAACUAUAACGGUCCUAAGGUAGCGAAAUUCCUUGUCGGGUAAGUUCCGACCCGCACGAAAGGUGUAACGAUUUGGGCACUGUCUCAACCAGAGACUCGGUGAAAUUAUAGUACCUGUGAAGAUGCAGGUUACCCGCGACAGGACGGAAAGACCCCGUGGAGCUUUACUGUAGCCUGAUAUUGAAUUUUGGUACAGUUUGUACAGGAUAGGCGGGAGCCAUUGAAACCGGAGCGCUAGCUUCGGUGGAGGCGCUGGUGGGAUACCGCCCUGACUGUAUUGAAAUUCUAACCUACGGGUCUUAUCGACCCGGGAGACAGUGUCAGGUGGGCAGUUUGACUGGGGCGGUCGCCUCCUAAAGUGUAACGGAGGCGCCCAAAGGUUCCCUCAGAAUGGUUGGAAAUCAUUCGUAGAGUGCAAAGGCAUAAGGGAGCUUGACUGCGAGACCUACAAGUCGAGCAGGGACGAAAGUCGGGCUUAGUGAUCCGGUGGUUCCGCAUGGAAGGGCCAUCGCUCAACGGAUAAAAGCUACCCCGGGGAUAACAGGCUUAUCUCCCCCAAGAGUCCACAUCGACGGGGAGGUUUGGCACCUCGAUGUCGGCUCAUCGCAUCCUGGGGCUGUAGUCGGUCCCAAGGGUUGGGCUGUUCGCCCAUUAAAGCGGUACGCGAGCUGGGUUCAGAACGUCGUGAGACAGUUCGGUCCCUAUCCGUCGUGGGCGUAGGAAAUUUGAGAGGAGCUGUCCUUAGUACGAGAGGACCGGGAUGGACGCACCGCUGGUGUACCAGUUGUUCUGCCAAGGGCAUAGCUGGGUAGCUAUGUGCGGAAGGGAUAAGUGCUGAAAGCAUCUAAGCAUGAAGCCCCCCUCAAGAUGAGAUUUCCCAUAGCGUAAGCUAGUAAGAUCCCUGAAAGAUGAUCAGGUUGAUAGGUUCGAGGUGGAAGCAUGGUGACAUGUGUAGCUGACGAAUACUAAUAGAUCGAGGACUUAACCAUAUAA
Molecule: ribosomal RNA, 2930 nt
Filed under: Bacillus cereus
Lineage: Bacteria; Bacillati; Bacillota; Bacilli; Caryophanales; Bacillaceae
Description: bacterial LSU rRNA
Rfam family: Bacterial large subunit ribosomal RNA
Source: RNAcentral